CCUACGGGAGGCAGCAGUGGGGAAUAUUGCACAAUGGGCGAAAGCCUGAUGCAGCAACGCCGCGUGAGUGAUGAAGGCCUUCGGGUUGUAAAGCUCUGUCUUUUGGGACGAUAAUGACGGUACCAAAGGAGGAAGCCACGGCUAACUACGUGCCAGCAGCCGCGGUAAU
This 169-nucleotide ribosomal RNA is filed under the name uncultured Clostridium sp. RNAcentral describes it as "partial 16S ribosomal RNA". It matches the Rfam family "Bacterial small subunit ribosomal RNA", at positions 338 to 524 of the family's 1533-position model. Lineage: Bacteria; Bacillati; Bacillota; Clostridia; Eubacteriales; Clostridiaceae. RNAcentral also lists the same sequence under 1 other name. The record is from RNAcentral.